Molecule: ribosomal RNA, 459 nt
Filed under: uncultured bacterium
Lineage: Bacteria
Description: partial 16S ribosomal RNA
Rfam family: Bacterial small subunit ribosomal RNA
Source: RNAcentral
CUACGGGCGGCAGCAGUGAGGAAUAUUGGUCAAUGGGCGCAAGCCUGAACCAGCCAUCCCGCGUGAAGGAUGACGGUCCUAUGGAUUGUAAACUUCUUUUAUGUACCAAGAAUGUGCCCUACGUGUAGGGUUUUGACGGUAGUACAUGAAUAAGCAUCGGCUAACUCCGUGCCAGCAGCCGCGGUAAUACGGAGGAUGCGAGCGUUAUCCGGAUUCAUUGGGUUUAAAGGGUGCGUAGGCGGCUUCAUAAGUCAGUGGUGAAAUCCUGCGGCUCAACCGUAGAACUGCCAUUGAAACUGCGAAGCUUGAAUCUAGUUGAGGUAGGCGGAAUGAGUAGUGUAGCGGUGACAUGCUUAGAUAUUACUCAGAACACCGAUUGCGAAGGCAGCUUACUAAACUGGAAUUGACGCUGAGGCACGAAAGCGUGGGGAGCGAACAGGAUUAGAUACCCCCGUAGUC